CCCCGCCUCGUCUCGGUGGUCGCAAGUCCGGUGCGGCGCCGGAGCGCAUCGUGUGACAUGCCACAGAUAUUUCUAUGUAAAACGACGCAGCGACACCGCUCCGACGCCGCACCGCCGCGCCGCCGCAACGCAUCGUGAUAAUAUCUUGUCUUUUAUACCGAU
Maniola jurtina (meadow brown) is the source of this 162-nucleotide long non-coding RNA. RefSeq lists it as uncharacterized. The transcript is spliced from 4 exons. NCBI's taxonomy places the organism in Eukaryota, Metazoa, Arthropoda, Insecta, Lepidoptera, Nymphalidae. The record is from RefSeq and is a predicted model, not a curated record.